Oncorhynchus nerka (sockeye salmon) is the source of this 2175-nucleotide long non-coding RNA. RefSeq lists it as uncharacterized. Lineage: Eukaryota; Metazoa; Chordata; Actinopteri; Salmoniformes; Salmonidae. The transcript is spliced from 2 exons. The record is from RefSeq and is a predicted model, not a curated record.
GAGAUGAGACCAUCUCUACAAUUGUAUUUCACAGGAUUAAUAUAGCCAGCGAUUAACACUCUUGAUAGAUGUAAUGCAAAAUGUUCUGGUGUAGAAAAAUAUCAAAAGUUAAGUAUGGAUAUAGGUAUGAGGGUCAUUCUUGAAUUAAGGGGACAUUUGGACAUGGGAUUUUUAGAAAAAAUGAACUUGCCGCAUUUCAAGCUUUCCUUUUGUGAAGGGCAGCCAGGAACUAGUUAUGUUGAACUUCGUCUCCCCUCUACAUUCAAGCAGCCCUUCACAGCUGAUUCUGACUGGGCCAAAGAAAUGACAGAAGCGAUAGCAAACAGGUUGCUCUAUAUAAGCAAACUAAAGCUGAAGUUGGCAAUGAAUUGGCCAAUGCAUCCUGUGUUGCACCUACUACAGAUGGAUGGACCACCAGGGCUACUUAUGACAUGUUCAAAACAACGGGGAACUGGGAAAUCUCCGACUUCCAACUUCAGUGUGUUCAAGAUAACUGGGAACUCGAAAAAAACAAGCUCCGACAUAUUGCACUUUAUUUUAGCUUUGUUGUUGAUGAGCAAAAUCGUGAUUUCAUUUAAGAAAAUACAAAGUGUUGACAUUCUUAAUGGUGCUCUCAUCAGGCAUUAUAUGACUCAUGGUCAUAUAUGGAAUCAGGAUUACUAACACUUAGUAUUUCCUUAAAUAAACAAUCAUUUACUACGGUAACUGUUGUCAUUGAAUUAUUCUGCUGUCGAGAAACCAAACCGUGACCUCAAAGCCGCAAUACCUACCGAACCCGUUAGACUCAUUCUAAAUAAGAUUAUCCAAAAUUGUCAAUGACUGAGAUAAUACGUAAUUAUGAUAACCAGUCACCGUCUUUGGUCAGUUUUGCCCGUUUGUCUGUCAAAAGUAAUUCCACUGAGCAACGUCUGUCUGGUAAACUUGUUACACAGCUGCAACAAUCCUCAUUCACGAGCUUGCCGGAUCACUUUGAUUAACCCACCCACUGAGUCAUAUCACAUCUCAAUAACCCAGCAUCAAUAACCCAGCAUUAACAAUCAAACCUAGCUCUUUUGAAUGAAAACAACCAAACUAAGUGACCCAAUGCUUGCAACCCAGCAGUUGGGUCAUCCAAACAACCCAGCAUUUUUAGUAUAGUGAUUUUCAAGGUGCUAAAACACACAUUACACUAGUAAAAUAAACAUAUUUUACUUGCCUUCUUUGUUUAAUGUAUCUAUGCAAUAUAGGAAAAUACUUUUGUUCACUGUUUAGCAUUAAAAAAAGAAUAGAUAGAUAUCUCUGAAUCACCAAAACAUGUCACUACACCUCUACAUCACCAGUAAGACGAGCCAAUUCGUUAGCCCACAGUAGUUUCUAAAAUGCAUACACAUAUUUUGUAGUAUAAGGACUUUUUUUUUUAAAUAACAAAGUCAAUGGACAGCAUUUAGCUCUACAAUUCAAGAAUGAAUAAAUAGCAUCCAUGUUGAUCAUCCUUAAGAACUCAGAAUAUGUAGGAACAUUCUUGCGGAUCUUGCUUUGAGUAAUAAUACCCUGUGCCUCGUUUCCCAGUUGCGAUGUAAAGUAAGCAUUACGAUGAUCGUACCAGUUGCAUCAUUAUUUACGAGACAACUUUUUAAGAGUGUUUCCAUACACGUUCGCCAAGGGACAGGUCGAAAUUUACUUGGGGGAGGGGUGGUCCAAAAUAUGUGUUUUUUGGGGGGGAGGCACAGGGGAGGGUGGUGCAAUUUUCCCCUUGGUUUACAUUCGCUCCUCUACUUGUAGUUUCCAAAUAAACAAUGGCUUGAUAUUACCCUAAUAAAGUUUAGAAACGUUUGUGGUUUGGUAUGGUGUGGCUAUCAUUAAGCUUUAGCUACUGCAGGCCUAUGAUUUGAAGGCAGUGCACCCCGGGGUUUCAACUGGCUCCUACAGUUGAACUCGAGGUGAGGAAGACUGUUUCAGGUCUACCAGAGUUACUCCUAUAAUCUAACAAUAUAAUGCUUAUCUUUACAAAAUAUUUGGAUCGAAAAUGAUCGAAUUACCCUUCUUCUGUACGUCUAUAUGUGUAUAGCAGACACAGAAACCAUCUGACAUAAAUGCAUGCAUGUCAUGUUGUACCUAUAUAUACAUACAGUACCUAGCCUAAACAUCUUGAUUCUAUGUGUAGCGGAGAUGUUCUGUGAAUAAAUUGACUCGGAA